UUGAAAGUAGAACAAAAAUAUAACAAAC
RNAcentral lists this non-coding RNA (28 nucleotides) under Cricetulus griseus (Chinese hamster). The record is from RNAcentral. Lineage: Eukaryota; Metazoa; Chordata; Mammalia; Rodentia; Cricetidae.